CAUGCAAGUCGAACGGUCCCUUCGGGGAUAGUGGCGGACGGGUGAGUAACGCGUGAGGAUCUGGCUACAGGACGGGGACAACGAAUGGAAACGUUCGCUAAUACCCGAUGUGCCGAGAGGUGAAAGAUUUAUUGCCUGUAGAUGAACUCGCGUCGGAUUAGCUAGUUGGUGGGGUAAGGGCCUACCAGGGCGACGAUCCGUAGCUGGUCUAAGAGGAUGAUCAGCCACACUGGGACUGAGACACGGCCCAGACUCCUACGGGAGGCAGCAGUGGGGAAUUUUCCGCAAUGGGGGGAACCCUGACGGAGCAACGCCGCGUGGGUGAUGAAGGCUUUCGGGUCGUAAAGCCCUGUCAGGUGGGAAGAAACUUAUGGAUGUUAAUACCAUCCAUACU
RNAcentral lists this ribosomal RNA (394 nucleotides) under uncultured bacterium. RNAcentral's name for it is "bacterial SSU rRNA". It matches the Rfam family "Bacterial small subunit ribosomal RNA", at positions 54 to 479 of the family's 1533-position model. The record is from RNAcentral.